CCUACGGGAGGCUGCAGUGGGGGAUAUUGCACAAUGGGGGAAACCCUGAUGCAGCGACGCCGCGUGAGUGAAGAAGUAUUUCGGUAUGUAAAGCUCUAUCAGCAGGGAAGAAAAAAGACGGUACCUGACUAAGAAGCCCCGGCUAACUACGGGCCAGCAGCCGCGGUAAUACGUAGGGGCAAGCGUUAUCCGGAUUUACUGGGUGUAAAGGGAGCGUAGACGGCAAUACAAGUCGGAAGUGAAAUACCCGGGCUCAACCUGGGAACUGCUUUGGAAACUGUAUGGCUGGAGUGCUGGAGAGGUAAGCGGAAUGCGUGGGGUAGCGGUGAAAUGCAUAGAUAUCACGCAGAACCCCGAUUGCGAAGGCAGCAUACCGGUGCACAACUGACGCUCAGGCACGAAAGCGUGGGUAUCGAACAGGAUUAGAUACCCCAGUAGUC
This 440-nucleotide ribosomal RNA is filed under the name uncultured bacterium. RNAcentral describes it as "partial 16S ribosomal RNA". It matches the Rfam family "Bacterial small subunit ribosomal RNA", at positions 338 to 795 of the family's 1533-position model. The record is from RNAcentral.